Molecule: unclassified non-coding RNA, 327 nt
Filed under: soil metagenome
Description: partial contains 5.8S ribosomal RNA, internal transcribed spacer 2, and large subunit ribosomal RNA
Rfam family: 5.8S ribosomal RNA (bases 2-119)
Source: RNAcentral
GUGAAGAACGUAGCGAAAUGCGAUAAGUAAUGUGAAUUGCAGAAUUCAGUGAAUCAUCGAAUCUUUGAACGCACAUUGCGCCCCUUGGUAUUCCGAGGGGCAUGCCUGUUCGAGCGUCAUUAUAACCCUCAAGCUCAGCUUGGUGUUGGGGCCUGCUGCACUGGCAGCCCUUAAAAUCAGUGGCGGCGCCAUCUGGCUCUAAGCGUAGUAAUUCUUCUCGCUAUGGAGUCCUGGUGGAUGCUUGCCAUCAACCCCCAAUUUUUCUAUGGUUGACCUCGGAUCAGGUAGGGAUACCCGCUGAACUUAAGCAUAUCAAUAAGCGGAGGA